RNAcentral lists this ribosomal RNA (204 nucleotides) under Streptococcus equinus. RNAcentral's name for it is "16S rRNA. Bacterial SSU". It matches the Rfam family "Bacterial small subunit ribosomal RNA", at positions 1 to 198 of the family's 1533-position model. The record is from RNAcentral. Lineage: Bacteria; Bacillati; Bacillota; Bacilli; Lactobacillales; Streptococcaceae.
AUUAAAUGAGAGUUUGAUCCUGGCUCAGGACGAACGCUGGCGGCGUGCCUAAUACAUGCAAGUAGAACGCUGAAGACUUUAGCUUGCUAAAGUUGGAAGAGUUGCGAACGGGUGAGUAACGCGUAGGUAACCUGCCUACUAGCGGGGGAUAACUAUUGGAAACGAUAGCUAAUACCGCAUAACAGCAUUUAACCCAUGUUAGAU